This 1011-nucleotide ribosomal RNA is filed under the name Triticum aestivum (bread wheat). RNAcentral's name for it is "partial small subunit ribosomal RNA". The record is from RNAcentral. Lineage: Eukaryota; Viridiplantae; Streptophyta; Magnoliopsida; Poales; Poaceae.
AUGGGGCAAGAAAUUUUUAAUCCAAUUUGGCGUAAUAUCUGGAAUUUAUCGUGUCCGGCAAAGGUUAAAUUUUUUAUUUGGAAGGCGUUGCAUGGCACUCUCCCAUGCCGUGUUACACUUGCCAAUAGACAUAUGAAUGUUUCACCAAUUUGUCCUUCGUGUUCUUCUGGGUAAGAAGAUACAAAACAUUUGUUGUUCCAGUGCCAAAAAGCUAAAGAGGUUUGGAGAAGACUUGGUUUGGACGGAGUUAUUUCUACAGCUUGUGAAGUUGAUUAUGCUGGUGAGGCUGUCCUGGAAUUUUUAUUACAAUUUCCAAACCAAGAUUUAGCUAUUUUAGGGACCCAGGAUACACGUGAGAUGAUUGCUAUCACGACAUGGUAUUUGUGGUGGGAAAGGCGUAAACUUGUGCACAAGGAGAAAGUUCAAGAUGCUAAACAGAUAUCUAUGGGGAUUCAAGUUCUUACGGCUAAUUAUGUUAUUGCUUCCUCUCUUAAUGCUUCCAUGAAAAGGGAGGGUUGGAGCCAGCCCCCGAUGGGCUUUGUGAAAAUUACUGUUGAUGCUUUUUUCGAUCAUGACCUUCUUAACGGAGCGACCGGAGCGGUUCUGAGGGACGACAAAGGAAAUUUUAUUGCAUGGGGUUGCUGGAGAAUUGACUUGUGUGUGGAUGUUCUCACGGCGGAAGCUCUGGUGCUUAGGUUUGGGCUAUCCCUGGCGCAACGGGGAGGAUGUAAUCGACUUGUCAUCAAUUCUGGUAACUUGGAGGUCAUCGAGACUGUGAAUAAUGGACGACGGGCGGCAGGAGUGGCGGCGGCAAUUUUUGAUGAUUGUUAUUUUAUUGCUUGUGUUUUUUAUAUGUCCAAGUUUGAACAUUGUAAUAGAAAGGCAAAUAAAGUAGCUCAUGAACUUGCUAGGUUGGCUAGAUUCUCUGAUAUUGUUGGUUGGUUUGAGGAGCCACUGAAUGAAAUUGUACCCUUCCUCUUAAACGAUGUAUCAGUUAUUUCAAUUGAAUAA